AACCCAACAAAACACAAUUCAAGAACUGCGAAUUAUCCUAAAAUCCAAGAAAAUGAUAAUUUGGAGAAUUAGAAAAAAGAAGGGAAAAUGAAACAAAAAUUAGGAAGGAUGAAAAUAUUAAAGAACAAGGAGGAAGUAAAAAUGGAAUGAUAAAAAAUGUAUACAAAACAAUUAAAACACAAAAUAAAAAGUAAACAUGUGGAAAUAAAAAGAAUAUAAAAACCAUAAAAAGGAAAAAAAAACAAGUUUGGGAAAAUUUAGAAAUAUUUCAAAAUAUUAUGG
Molecule: long non-coding RNA, 282 nt
Filed under: Brachypodium distachyon (stiff brome)
Lineage: Eukaryota; Viridiplantae; Streptophyta; Magnoliopsida; Poales; Poaceae
Description: long non-coding RNA (BDIS_LNC002938)
Source: RNAcentral